CACACACACACACUCACACACACACACGCUGUGAAUUAACUAGAAGACACUACACUCUGGUCGAAAGCUGAGAGAGAGUUCGCGCGCUCACCGAGAUAGCUUCCGAAUGUUUUUUGAUGAGAGAUCUUCUGAACCUGAACCUGAAGUCAGCAGUGACCGGACCGAGAGCCUGGUGUGGCCCGCCGUGGCAUCUUUGGACCCGUCAGCAUCCCAGAUAAGAUCACACACAUCAUGAACUUAUUUAUUUUGAAGUUAUUUA
Long non-coding RNA from Larimichthys crocea (large yellow croaker), 259 nucleotides. RefSeq lists it as uncharacterized. The transcript has 3 exons. Lineage: Eukaryota; Metazoa; Chordata; Actinopteri; Sciaenidae. The record is from RefSeq and is a predicted model, not a curated record.